RNAcentral lists this long non-coding RNA (640 nucleotides) under Cricetulus griseus (Chinese hamster). RNAcentral's name for it is "lncRNA (ENSCGRG00015036393.1)". Lineage: Eukaryota; Metazoa; Chordata; Mammalia; Rodentia; Cricetidae. The record is from RNAcentral.
GUGAGUCUCCAUGUGUGAGGUUGUUUUCAGUGCCUAGCCUGAUAUUUGUUUGUAACAUGAAUAUAAACCCAGAGACAGAGAUGUUGGGGCUCAAGCUUCAAGCUGAAGCUCAGAAAAGCAAAGCAGCCAGCCACUAGCUCUUACUAAGCCUGAAAUGGCCAUCCUGCCUCCACAAAUUAUCAGACUGCAAUGCAGACCGCACUGCUCUCCACUGAGCCUCAGACUGCAAUUGCUCAGUUCCUGUUUCCUCCUGCCUUAUAUUCCAGCCAUAUCAUCCUAUUUCCAGCUUCCGAGUUCUGGGAUUAAAGAUCUAGGUUGAAAUCCUCAACUCGAUUGAAGUCAGUACUGGAAGCUCUGGUUGGAGUGUCAGUUGAAACGGAGUAAGUUGGAUCCAGUGCAGUCUAGGGGUUAUGGCCCAAUUUUUUUUCCGGAGCAUCCAGGGAUUGCUGUCAGGCGGGUCUUCAUUGGCUGUGUGGGACUCAAACGGGUAAUGCACUGUAUUAAAUAUGUAAGGUCUUAAAAAAAAGAAGGGAUUUUGAGAGCCCAUCCCAUGUGAAGGGAUGCUCUCUUGACCUGGACACAUGCAGAAGGGCCUAGGCCUGGCCCAGGAUGAUGUGGUUGACUUUGGGAGCCCCUUUUG